AGUGAACGCUGGCGGUAGGCCUAACACAUGCAAGUCGAACGGCAGCACAGUAAGAGCUUGCUCUUACGGGUGGCGAGUGGCGGACGGGUGAGGAAUACAUCGGACUCUACUUUUUCGUGGGGGAUAACGUAGGGAAACUUACGCUAAUACCGCAUACGACCUACGGGUGAAAGCAGGGGAUCUUCGGACCUUGCGCGUUUGAAUGAGCCGAUGUCGGAUUGGCUAGUUGGCGGGGUAAAGGCCCACCAAGGCGACGAUCCGUAGCUGGUCUGAGAGGAUGAUCGGCCACACUGGAACUGAGACACGGUCCAGACUCCUACGGGAGGCAGCAGUGGGGAAUAUUGGACAAUGGGGGCAAGCCUGAUCCAGCCAUACCGCGUGGGUGAAGAAGGCCUUCGGGUUGUAAAGCCCUUUUAUUGGGAAAGAAAAGCAGCAGGUUAAUACCCCGCUGUUCUGACGGUACCCAAAGAAUAAGCACCGGCUAACUUCGUG
This 492-nucleotide ribosomal RNA is filed under the name uncultured bacterium. Its description in RNAcentral is "partial 16S ribosomal RNA". It matches the Rfam family "Bacterial small subunit ribosomal RNA", at positions 29 to 507 of the family's 1533-position model. The record is from RNAcentral.